This 177-nucleotide non-coding RNA is filed under the name Anaerolineales bacterium. RNAcentral describes it as "6S RNA". It matches the Rfam family "6S / SsrS RNA". Rfam says of the family: E. coli 6S RNA was the first non coding RNA to be sequenced, but its function was unknown until recently. Lineage: Bacteria; Bacillati; Chloroflexota; Anaerolineae; Anaerolineales. The record is from RNAcentral.
CAUGCCCUGCGGUGUUCGCGAUAUCGCCAUUACGUUUUGAGCCAACACCUUUAAAACGGGUCCUUAUCUUAACGGAAAUAACGCGAUAGGCCUGAGCCAAGGCGGCGUUUCCCGGUCAGGACCCACCUGCGAAAGCAGGUUCAAAACCCAGCGAUACACGGCACGUGCGGGGCACGA